AACUUCUUGAUGAAAACAACAAACCCAGUGAAAAUAACUGAAAGACUGGAAUUCAGAUGGCCAGAGUGGAGCAACCAUUUCAACACCCAAGAUAUUUGCUAAAGACUACAAAAGAUGCCAACACAAGUGCUGAAGAGGAUGCUACAUGAGAGAAAGAUGGAUUCGUAUGUGGAAAAGCCUUCUAAGGAUAAAGUCUACCAUAUACUGACUUACUUUCGGAGGUAACAAGGGUUGGUGAGAUCUCAGUAGCGUCCUUCUCAUGAGGAGGUCAGUCUCUUAAACUUCAAGUGGAAAACAGAUGAGAUGAGGUGACUGUGCUGAAUUUGAAAUAUGUGCCCUAAUCCCAAUGUUAUUUUGUUGUUGCUGUUAUGUUUGUUUCAAAAAUAAUUACAAGGUAAUUGCCCUCUGAUUUCUGUUACCCACAGAACCUCAUCUCUCACCUUACCCCCAGCUUUAAUGAGGCUUCUUGUUGGUCAAUUCCAAUAAGAACUCUCUAAGUCACCUGGGCUGCUCUGAGAUCCACCUUACAGUGACUCAGGAAUACAGUCAAUACAAUGGUAGAAAGUGGCCCUGGCAAGGAAAGACUUUAAAACACAUAGAACAAAUCAGCCCAGAGGCUCUGCCGG
Molecule: long non-coding RNA, 626 nt
Filed under: Pan troglodytes (chimpanzee)
Lineage: Eukaryota; Metazoa; Chordata; Mammalia; Primates; Hominidae
Description: long non-coding RNA NONPTRT010367
Source: RNAcentral